AUACGUAGGGGGCGAGCGUUGUCCGGAAUGAUUGGGCGUAAAGGGCGCGUAGGCGGCCCGGUAAGUCUGGAGUGAAAGUCCUGUUUUUGAGAUGGGAAUUGCUUUGGAUACUGUCGGGCUUGAGUGCAGGAGAGGUAAGUGGAAUUCCCAGUGUAGCGGUGAAAUGCGUAGAGAUUGGGAGGAACACCAGUGGCGAAGGCGACUUACUGGACUGUAACUGACGCUGAGGCGCGAAAGUGUGGGGAGCAAACAGGAUUAGAUACCCUGGUAGUCCACACUGUAAACGAUGAAUGCUAGGUGCAGGGGGUAUCGACCCCUUCUGUGCCGCAGUCAACACAAUAAGCAUUCCGCCUGGGGAGUACGGCCGCAAGGUUGAAACUCAAAUGAAUUGACGGGG
This 397-nucleotide ribosomal RNA is filed under the name uncultured bacterium. RNAcentral describes it as "partial 16S ribosomal RNA". It matches the Rfam family "Bacterial small subunit ribosomal RNA", at positions 523 to 918 of the family's 1533-position model. The record is from RNAcentral.